This 253-nucleotide ribosomal RNA is filed under the name uncultured bacterium. RNAcentral's name for it is "partial 16S ribosomal RNA". It matches the Rfam family "Bacterial small subunit ribosomal RNA", at positions 524 to 776 of the family's 1533-position model. The record is from RNAcentral.
UACGGAGGGGGCGAGCGUUGUCCGAAGUUACUGGGCGUAAAGCGCGCGUAGGCGGGGCGGAAAGUCCGCUGUGAAAGCCCGAGGCUUAACCUCGGCGGGUCGGUGGAUACUUCCGUUCUUGAAGGUGCUAGGGGGAGAUGGAAUUACCGGUGUAGCGGUGAAAUGCGUAGAUAUCAGGAGGAACACCGGUGGCGAAGGCGGAUCUCUGGGCCUUACCUGACGCUCAGGUGCAAAAGCUAGGGGAGCGAACAGG